Molecule: ribosomal RNA, 593 nt
Filed under: uncultured Halococcus sp.
Lineage: Archaea; Methanobacteriati; Methanobacteriota; Halobacteria; Halobacteriales; Halococcaceae
Description: bacterial SSU rRNA
Rfam family: Archaeal small subunit ribosomal RNA
Source: RNAcentral
GGAGAAAGCGCCAAACGCUCCGGCGCCGCAGGAUGCGACUGCGGCCGAUUAGGUAGACGGUGGGGUAACGGCCCACCGUGCCGAUAAUCGGUACGGGUAGUGAGAGCUAGAGCCCGGAGACGGACUCUGAGACAAGAGUCCGGGCCCUACGGGGCGCAGCAGGCGCGAAACCUUUACACUGCGCGACAGCGCGAUAGGGGGACCCCAAGUGCGAGGGCAUACAGUCCUCGCUUUUUCCGACCGUAAGGUGGUCGGCGAAUAAGGGCUGGGCAAGACCGGUGCCAGCCGCCGCGGUAAUACCGGCAGCUCGAGUGAUGGCCGCUAUUAUUGGGCCUAAAGCGUCCGUAGCCGGCUAGACAGGUCCGUCGGGAAAUCCACCCGCUCAACGGGUGGGCGUCCGGCGGAAACCAGCUAGCUUGGGACCGAGCGACCUGAGGGGUACGUCUGGGGUAGGAGUGAAAUCCCGUAAUCCCGGACGGACCAUCGGUGGCGAAAGCGCCUCAGGAGAGCGGAUCCGACGGUGAGGGACGAAAGCUAGGGUCUCGAACCGGAUUAGAUACCCGGGUAGUCCUAGCCGUAAACGAUGCUCGCUA